RNAcentral lists this ribosomal RNA (253 nucleotides) under uncultured bacterium. RNAcentral describes it as "partial 16S ribosomal RNA". It matches the Rfam family "Bacterial small subunit ribosomal RNA", at positions 524 to 776 of the family's 1533-position model. The record is from RNAcentral.
UACGGAGGGAGCUAGCGUUGUUCGGAAUUACUGGGCGUAAAGCGCGUGUAGGCGGCUUUGCAAGUCGGGUGUGAAAGCCCUCAGCUCAACUGAGGAAGUGCGCCCGAAACUGCAGAGCUUGAGUGCCGGAGAGGGUGGCGGAAUUCCCCAAGUAGAGGUGAAAUUCGUAGAUAUGGGGAGGAACACCGGUGGCGAAGGCGGCCACCUGGACGGUUACUGACGCUGAGACGCGAAAGCGUGGGGAGCAAACAGG